Molecule: transfer RNA, 90 nt
Filed under: Hydrogenophaga electricum
Lineage: Bacteria; Pseudomonadati; Pseudomonadota; Betaproteobacteria; Burkholderiales; Comamonadaceae
Description: tRNA-Ala
Source: RNAcentral
GCCUGGGUGGCACAGGCCAACAAUGCCCUGUUCGGCGCCCAGGCCGCCUACGACCAAUGGGUGCCGGCGUUCGAGGCGCUGUUUGCGCGC